AUGCCAUCCAAGGGCCAGCUGCAGUCCGUGCAAUCCACUGCAAACAUGGCAGUGGCCUCAUCAAGGUGAAUGGAUGGCCCCUGGAGAUGAUGGAGCCGAGCGCUGCAAUUCAAGCUGCUGGAACUAGUUCCUAGUUCUGCCUCUGGGCAAGGAGCAAUUUGCUGACAUGCACACGCAUGUUUGUGUGAAGGGUGGUGGUCAUGUGACCCAGAUUUAUGCUAUCAACAUCAGUCCAUCUCCAAAGCCUUAGUGGCCUAUUACCGGAAAUAAAUGGAUGAGGCUUCCAAAAGGACCAGAGGCAUCCUCAUCCAGCAUGACUGGACCCUGUCAGUAGCUGACCCCCGUUGCUGCAAAUCCAAAAACGUUGGAGGCCCUGGUACCUAUGCUUGCUACCAGAAAUCGUACCAAUAA
Molecule: long non-coding RNA, 411 nt
Filed under: Homo sapiens (human)
Lineage: Eukaryota; Metazoa; Chordata; Mammalia; Primates; Hominidae
Description: non-protein coding lnc-PPP2R5B-3:1
Source: RNAcentral